RNAcentral lists this ribosomal RNA (515 nucleotides) under uncultured bacterium. Its description in RNAcentral is "bacterial SSU rRNA". It matches the Rfam family "Bacterial small subunit ribosomal RNA", at positions 19 to 518 of the family's 1533-position model. The record is from RNAcentral.
CUGGCUCAGGACGAACGCUGGCGGCGUGCCUAACACAUGCAAGUCGAGCGGGGACAUUGCGACGGAGACGAAGUACUCGUACGGAGUCAAAGAUGUAAUGUUCUAGCGGCGGACGGGUGAGUAACGCGUGAGCAACCUGUCCCUUACAGGGGGAUAACACAGCGAAAGUUGUACUAAUACCGCAUAAGACCACAGAGUGACAUCGCUCAGGGGUCAAAGGAGCAAUCCGGUAAGGGGUGGGCUCGCGUCCGAUUAGAUAGUUGGUGAGGUAACGGCCCACCAAGUCGACGAUCGGUAGCCGACCUGAGAGGGUGAUCGGCCACAUUGGGACUGAGACACGGCCCAAACUCCUACGGGAGGCAGCAGUGGGGAAUAUUGGGCAAAUGGGGGAAACCCUGACCCAGCAACGCCGCGUGAGGGAAGAAGGUUUUCGGAUCGUAAACCUCUGUCCCAGGUGAAGAGGAAGAGACGGUGGCCUGGGAGGAAGCCCCGGCUAACUACGUGCCAGCCGCGGC